RNAcentral lists this ribosomal RNA (333 nucleotides) under uncultured eukaryote. RNAcentral describes it as "partial 18S ribosomal RNA". It matches the Rfam family "Eukaryotic small subunit ribosomal RNA", at positions 1470 to 1796 of the family's 1831-position model. The record is from RNAcentral.
CCCUUAGAUGUUCUGGGCUGCACGCGCGCUACACUGGUGCGUUCAGCGAGUUUAGCACCUUAACAGAUAUGUUUGGGUAAUCUUCUGAAAACGCACCGUGAUGGGGAUCGAUUAUUGUAAUUAUUAAUCGUCAACGAGGAAUUCCUAGUAAGUGUGAAUCAUCAGUUCGCGCUGAUUACGUCCCUGCCCUUUGUACACACCGCCCGUCGCUACUACCGAUUGAAUGGUUUAGUGAGAUCUUCGGAUUGGCGCCACUGCGGCUCAGCAAUGGGCUCGGUGGAUGCCGAAAAGUUGAUCAAACUUGAUCAUUUAGAGGAAGUAAAAGUCGUAACA